UGGGGUGUGGCUCAGGGGUAGAGCGCUUGCCUAGCAUGCGUGAGGCACUGGGUUUGAUCCUCAGCACCACAU
Molecule: transfer RNA, 72 nt
Filed under: Marmota marmota marmota (Alpine marmot)
Lineage: Eukaryota; Metazoa; Chordata; Mammalia; Rodentia; Sciuridae
Also listed under: 1 other name
Rfam family: tRNA
About the family: Transfer RNA (tRNA) molecules are approximately 80 nucleotides in length. Their secondary structure includes four short double-helical elements and three loops (D, anti-codon, and T loops).
Source: Rfam by way of RNAcentral